GAUGAACGCUGGCGAGAUGCUUUACACAUGCAAGUCGUACGAGAGUUUUAAACUCAAGUGGCGGACGGGUGAGUAACACGUAAGAAUUUACCUUUAGGAGGGGGACAACAGCUGGAAACGGCUGCUAAUACCCCAUAUGCUUUCGAGUGAAAUGGAUUUUUCCGCCUAGAGAGAAGCUUGCGGCUGAUUAGCUUGUUGGUAAGGUAAUGGCUUACCAAGGCGACGAUCAGUAUCCGGUUUGAGAGGACGAUCAGACACACUGGAACUGAGACACGGUCCAGACUCCUACGGGAGGCAGCAGUGGGGAACUUUCCGCAAUGGGCGCAAGCCUGACGGAGCAAUCUCGCGUGAGGGAUGACUGCCUAUGGGUUGUAAACCUCUUUUUUCAGGGAGGAAUUAUUGACGUGUACCUGAAGAAUAAGCAUCGGCUAACUCCGUGCCAGCAGCCGCGGUAAGACGGAGGAUGCAAGUGUUAUCCGGAAUCACUGGGCGCAAAGCGUCUGUAGGUGGUUUAAUAAGUCAACUGUUAAAUCUUGAAGCUCAACUUCAAAAUCGCAGUCGAAACUAUUAGACUAGAGUAUAGUAGGGGUAAAGGGAAUUUCCAGUGGAGCGGUGAAAUGCGUAGAGAUUGGAAAGAACACCGAUGGCGAAGGCACUUUACUGGGCUAUUACUGACACUCAGAGACGAAAGCUAGGGUAGCAAAUGGGAUUAGAUACCCCAGUAGUCCUAGCCGUAAACAAUGGAUACUAGAUGUUGAACAGAUCGACCUGUGCAGUAUCAAAGCUAACGCGUUAAGUAUCCCGCCUGGGAAGUAUGCUCGCAAGAGUG
RNAcentral lists this ribosomal RNA (829 nucleotides) under uncultured phototrophic eukaryote. Its description in RNAcentral is "bacterial SSU rRNA". It matches the Rfam family "Bacterial small subunit ribosomal RNA", at positions 28 to 896 of the family's 1533-position model. The record is from RNAcentral.